GAUGAACUCUGGCGGCGUGCCUAAUACAUGCAAGUCGAGCGAAGCGGGGACGGGUGAGUAACACGUGGAUAACCUCCUAUAAGACUGGGAUACCUUCGGGAAACCGGAGCUAACCCGGAUACUUAUCGUUGGCUCCUCGCUGCAUUAGCUAGUUGGUAAGGUAACGGCUUACAAAGGCAACGAUGCAUAGCCGACCUGAGAGGGUGAGCGGCCACACUGGGACUGAGACACGGGCCAGACUCCUACGGGAGGCAGCAGUAGGGAAUCUUCCGAAAUGGGCGAAAGCCUGACGGAGCAACGCCGCGUGAGUGAAGAAGGUCUUCGGAUCGUAAAACUCUGUUAGUAGGGAAGCGGUACCUAAUCAGAAAGCCACGGCUAACUACGUGCCAGCAGCCGCGGUAAUAC
Molecule: ribosomal RNA, 405 nt
Filed under: uncultured bacterium
Lineage: Bacteria
Description: partial 16S ribosomal RNA
Rfam family: Bacterial small subunit ribosomal RNA
Source: RNAcentral